AGAGUUUGAUCCUGGCUCAGAACGAACGCUGGCGGCAGGCCUAACACAUGCAAGUCGAGCGCGCCUUUCGGGUGAGCGGCGGACGGGUUAGUAACGCGUGGGAACGUGCCCUUCUCUACGGAAUAGCCUCUGGAAACGGAGAGUAAUACCGUAUACGCCCUUUGGGGGAAAGAUUUAUCGGAGAAGGAUCGGCCCGCGUUAGAUUAGGUAGUUGGUGGGGUAAUGGCCUACCAAGCCUACGAUCUAUAGCUGGUUUUAGAGGAUGAUCAGCAACACUGGGACUGAGACACGGCCCAGACUCCUACGGGAGGCAGCAGUGGGGAAUCUUAGACAAUGGGGGCAACCCUGAUCUAGCCAUGCCGCGUGAGUGAUGAAGGCCUUAGGGUCGUAAAGCUCUUUCGCCUGUGAUGAUAAUGACAGUAGCAGGUAAAGAAACCCCGGCUAACUCCGUGCCAGCAGCCGCGGUAAUACGGAGGGGGUUAGCGUUGUUCGGAAUUACUGGGCGUAAAGCGCGCGUAGGCGGAUUAGAAAGUUGGGGGUGAAAUCCCGGGGCUCAACCUCGGAACUGCCUCCAAAACUGCUAGUCUAGAGUUCGAGAGAGGUGAGUGGAAUUCCGAGUGUAGAGGUGAAAUUCGUAGAUAUUCGGAGGAACACCAGUGGCGAAGGCGGCUCACUGGCUCGAUACUGACGCUGAGGUGCGAAAGUGUGGGGAGCAAGCAGGAUUAGAUACCCUGGUAGUCCACACCGUAAACGAUGAAUGCCAGUCGUCGGGUAGUAUACUAUUCGGUGACACACCUAACGGAUUAAGCAUUCCGCCUGGGGAGUACGGUCGCAAGAUUAAAACUCAAAGGAAUUGACGG
This 860-nucleotide ribosomal RNA is filed under the name uncultured marine bacterium. Its description in RNAcentral is "bacterial SSU rRNA". It matches the Rfam family "Bacterial small subunit ribosomal RNA", at positions 8 to 916 of the family's 1533-position model. The record is from RNAcentral.